RNAcentral lists this ribosomal RNA (413 nucleotides) under uncultured bacterium. RNAcentral's name for it is "bacterial SSU rRNA". It matches the Rfam family "Bacterial small subunit ribosomal RNA", at positions 945 to 1359 of the family's 1533-position model. The record is from RNAcentral.
UUUAAUUCGAAGCAACGCGAAGAACCUUACCAGGGCUUGACAUCCCGCUGACCCCUUCAGAGAUGAAGGUUUCCUUCGGGACAGCGGUGACAGGUGGUGCAUGGUUGUCGUCAGCUCGUGUCGUGAGAUGUUGGGUUCAGUCCCGCAACGAGCGCAACCCUUGUCGUUAGUUGCCAGCAUUUCGGAUGGGCACUCUAAUGAGACAGCCGGUGAAAGCCGGAGGAAGGUGGGGAUGACGUCAAAUCAUCAUGCCCCUUAUGUCCUGGGCUACACACGUGCUACAAUGGCUGGUACAAAGGGCUGCGAACCCGCGAGGGGGAGCCAAUCCCAAAAAGCCAGUCUCAGUUCGGAUCGCAGGCUGCAACUCGCCUGCGUGAAGCCGGAAUCGCUAGUAAUCGCGGAUCAGCAUGCCG